Molecule: ribosomal RNA, 429 nt
Filed under: uncultured bacterium
Lineage: Bacteria
Description: bacterial SSU rRNA
Rfam family: Bacterial small subunit ribosomal RNA
Source: RNAcentral
UUAGGAAUCUUGGGCAAUGGGGGCAACCCUGACCCAGCCAUGCCGCGUGUGUGAAGAAGGCCUUCGGGUUGUAAAGCACUUUCAGAGGUGAAGAAAGGCCUGAGGUGAAUACCCUCGGGUGUUGACGUUAGCCUUAGAAGAAGCACCGGCUAACUCCGUGCCAGCAGCCGCGGUAAUACGGAGGGUGCGAACGUUAAUCGGAAUUACUGGGCGUAAAGCGCACGUAGGCGGUUCGUUAAGUGGGAUGUGAAAUCCCCGGGCUCAACCUGGGAACUGCAUUUCAGACUGGCGAACUCGAGUCUGGUAGAGGGGGGUGGAAUUUCCUGUGUAGCGGUGAAAUGCGUAGAUAUAGGAAGGAACAUCAGUGGCGAAGGCGGCCCCCUGGACUAAGACUGACGCUGAGGUGCGAAAGCGUGGGGAGCAAACAGG